RNAcentral lists this ribosomal RNA (253 nucleotides) under uncultured bacterium. RNAcentral describes it as "partial 16S ribosomal RNA". It matches the Rfam family "Bacterial small subunit ribosomal RNA", at positions 524 to 776 of the family's 1533-position model. The record is from RNAcentral.
CACGGGGGGAGCAAGCGUUGUUCGGGAUCACUGGGCGUAAAGGGCGUGUAGGCGGUCAGGUAAGUGGGACGUGAAAUCCCUCGGCUCAACUGAGGAAUGGCACGGGAAACUGACGGGCUUGAGUUCGGGAGAGGGAAGCGGAAUUCCGGGUGUAGCGGUGAAAUGCGUAGAUAUCAGGAGGAACACCGGUGGCGAAGGCGCUCAUCUGGCCCAAUACUGACGCUGAGGCGCGAAAGCUAGGGGAGCAAACGGG